RNAcentral lists this ribosomal RNA (413 nucleotides) under soil fungal sp. DM040. Its description in RNAcentral is "partial 28S rRNA". It matches the Rfam family "Eukaryotic large subunit ribosomal RNA", at positions 181 to 603 of the family's 3401-position model. The record is from RNAcentral. Lineage: Eukaryota; Fungi.
CCGAGNUCCCUGGAACGGGACGCCUUANAGGGUGAGAGCCCCGUACGNUUGGACGCCUAGCCUCUGUAAAGCUCCUUCAACGAGUCGAGUAGUUUGGNAAUGCUGCUCAAAAUGGGAGNNAAAUUUCUUCUAAAGCUAAAUACCGGCCAGAGNCCGAUAGCGCACAAGUGGAGUGAUCGAAAGAUGAAAAGCACUUUGAAAAGAGGNUUAAAUAGCACGUGAAAUUGUUGAAAGGNAAGCGUUUAUGACCNGACUUUUUCCUAGGGGAUCAUCCGGUGUUCUCACCGGUGCACUUCGCUAGGUUUAGGCCAGCNUCGGUUUCCGUAGGGGGAUAAAAGCUUUAGGAAUGNGGCUCUUCGNAGUGUUAUAGCCUAUUGUAUAAUACCNUUAUGGGGGACCGAGGUACGCGCUCU